Molecule: long non-coding RNA, 4557 nt
Organism: Zeugodacus cucurbitae (melon fly)
Lineage: Eukaryota; Metazoa; Arthropoda; Insecta; Diptera; Tephritidae
Exons: 4
Source: RefSeq, a predicted model, not a curated record
CCGGCAACACUCCCACAUCAGUGUGCGGAGGAAACAAUCAACGCUUCAAGCACGGACGUGAAGCUAAUUUUGCCGCUUUAAAGGUAGUUUCGAGCUUAUAAGCGUUCCGUUUAGUCGCGAAUUUCCGUUUUACAUAAAAAUAGUUAUUAAUAAUCUAAAAGUUUAUUUUUAUUGUAAAACCGCAAGAAACCAAAAACUUGAACGUUAUGCUGUUAUGUAUAAGUUAUCUACAUAAACGUAAUUUGUUUUAUUAAGCUGCUUUGUGCUGUGUGGCACAACCCAAUAUAACAGUGCUCCAAGCUCUUAGCACUUACACCAAUUAACGGUCAUAGCUUUGGACACUUUGAACAACUCAGAUUUAUAUAUCCAGUCAUCGCAAGUUAAAUGAAUAUCAAAUGAAGGUAAUACAUAUAGCAGGCGUCCCACAACCUAACCUCAUAAUUUACGCCGUAGUCUGAAAUGCAUAUCAACAAAUAUUCGCCAUGCAUUUCCUACUGGGUUGUUUGCCGCUAUAUACAACGAAAUAUGUUUAUGUACAUACAUACAGAUCUUCAUGUACACAUCUGUGCAAGUAUAUAUGUAUAACCCUCAUCAGCUAAUUGGACUCAACAACCUUGACGUUAGUUCUGCUGCCUCAGUCUGGAUAAGGAGUCUGGCUUUGGUAGUGAAGUUGGACAAGAGAAAAUAUCUUCCAUCCAUCAAACAACAGUCAGCGCAUUCGCGUCUUUGUUCUCACGUCACUGUUGACAGUCAUAACGGUUUUAGAGAACCCUCAUCAGCUAAUUGGACUCAACAACCUUGACGUUAGUUAUGCUGCCUCAGUCUGGAUAAGGAGUCUGGGUUUGGUAGUGAAGUUGGACAAGAGAAAAUAUCUUAUACCAUCAAACAAAAGUCAGCGCAUUCGAGUCUUUGUUCUCACGUCACUGUUGACAGUCAUAACUUUGAUGUUGUAGAUCAUUUUGCCUAUCUUGGAACCCGCAUUAACACCCAUAACUGUGUCAGCCUUGAAAUCCAACGCAAAAUCACUCUUACUACUAUGCACUGAGUAGGCAAUUGAAAAGUAAAGUCCUCUCUCGACGAAACAAAACCAAACUCUACAAAUCCCUCAUCAUUCCCGUCCUGAUUUAUGGUGCAGAAGCAUCGACGAUGGCAACAGCCGAUGAGACGGCACUAGGAGUUUUCGAGAGGAAAAUUUUGCGCAAGAUUUAUGAUCUUCAGAACAUUGGGAACGGCGAAUACCGCAGACGAUGGAACCAUGAGUUGUACGAAUUAUACUACGACAUUGACAUAGUUCAGCGAAUAUAAAGGCAGCAGCUACGCUGACUAGGUCAUGUUGUCCGAAUAGACGAAAACACUCCAGCCCUGAAAUUGUUCGAUGCAGUACCCGCCGAAGGAAGCCGAGGAAGGGGAAGGCCUCCACUCCGUUGAAGGGAACUGGUUACACUUGAGAUCUCCAACUGGCGCCGAAAGAGAGGAGUGGUGUGCUAUCAUCGAUUCGGCUAUAACCGGCUAAACGGUUUCUACCCCAAUCACAUACAUACAUACACAGCAGAAAAUUUGUAUGUAAGUUUCUGAAGAAGCUUCUGGAAAAGUUAAUUUCUUCAAUUGAACCGAAUGCUACGUUUUACAUAACUUCUUUAAAACUUAUUUGGCUCGCACUACAUGAUAACCUCUGCACCCCUUUAACCCUAAGUUGAUAUGUUUAUAUACAAACAAAUUUAUAAAAGCGAAAACUCAGAAAACUUAUACCCACAUUCACGCAUACAAUUGUAUAUACAUAAGUCUGUACUUAAAAAUUUGUUUUUGUAUUUAUUGUACAUACAUGCUCACUUAUGUAAAUACAAAUACAUAAAUUUAUUAUUUAAGUUAGUUUGUAAUCCAAUCGGUAAUGGUCUUUAACCCCCAUACCGCCAAUUGCUGCAGCACCAUACCAAUGGCGGACGUUGCCACCCGUUGUUACUCAGCGCUCCAAAAGCCAGAAGCAAAUAAAUAAACACAUACAUAUGCAUGUAUGUACAUACAGUUAUCGGUAUGUAAAUAAAAAUAAGAAGUGCCACAUAAAAUACGAAGCUUCAAACGAACGCGCACGAAGUAUUUGCCGAACACGUACGAGUAUAUAACGCUUCCGACCCACCUCUGUGUAGGUAUACCAAGCCACGAGCACAUAGCUGAGUUUGCAAGCUUCAGUGUACCGUACACCGCGACGCACCUUGCCACCAAACCCAGCAAACACAUACACGCACAUAGCGGUUGUUAUGUACGCCUCGCCCACUGCGCCACACUGUCUUCACGCUCCAACGCUCGAGCUCGAGCUGCAACGCCACUGUUGCUAGGUCAUUUAUUAUGCGCUGUGCGCCAUGAAUUUGCUGUUGGUAUUCGAGACGCCUCCGACUCCCCUCACCGUUGUUGUUUUUAUUUUUGUUGGUAUUGAAGCUAUACCGAGAAGUUAUCGCCAGCGAGAUUCGGGAGUGGCUGGAACACGGCUGGUGCUGGCUGCAAGGGGUUCGGGUGCCGAGGUGCUGGUGCUGCUGCAGCCAAAAGCGCAUUUAAUGCAGUCUUACAUACAAACGAAUAUUUGAGUACAUAUUUCUAUAUAGAAAAGUGCACCGAUGCCACUUUGGCCUGCAAGAGAUGCCAGCGCGGCAAGAACAAUUGCUGGAGACGACAGCACAUGACGGCAAGUACAUAGGGAUACAUACCGAAGUAUAUAUUAGUAUGUAUGCUGCCUGUUUGAGUAUAUAACAGACCCGCAAUGGGUGUUCGAUGAAUGUCAAACACACACACUUCGUGCUUGCUUGCCUGGAUGGAUGGAUGCUCCAUAAACGCGGCGCCGCAACCGCUAGCCAGGGAGUUGAAACUUUAAAUGCGUUAGGGGGCCAAAAGUCUUACUCCCCGGGGUUUUGUCAAAGGUACGAAUGUGACCGUGACGCCGUUAGUGCCAAUCUGCUUUUGUUGCUGUUGUUUUCAUUGUGCUGCAAGAUCCGCAGGUCACCAAAUGACACACAUGAACUAUGUAUGGCAAACGGGCGAGUCGCCGCAAAUGCAGGACGACACCGACAAUAACAAAUUAGCUAAAAGCGUUGCAACAACACAUAACCGGAAGGGAGCAUGUACAUAUUUGCCAAGUCGGAUGCCGAUUGCGCACGAAAGCCUUGCGCCAACACCACCUCCAUCGGCGCAUCCACCGAAGCUGGCUGUUCGGUCGCUAUGGGCGCCGGCAACCAAACGCUUGGAUGCCUGGUUUUAAUCUAAUUCCAAUUGAUUGAUUUUCUAAACUUUGCAGGCGCAGCAGCAGCAGCCCGGCAGUCGAGUCCCAGUGGCGGCCACCCGAAAAUAUGAUAUCACUCCAUCAAACCACAUGCCACGCGCACGAAAUGUGGAUCAUCAUUUUGUGGGCUGGUUGGCGAUGAUGGGGCGAUGUUGAAGUGCUGUUGAGCUGCCGGGCUGGGCAGGCCAGGCGGGUGUGGGAGUGAGUGCUAGGCUCGCUGCACUCGGUCUAGUUUCUAUGGGCACGACGUGCGCGUGUAUGUGUGCUCGUACCAAUUUUAUAUAUAAUGCAAUAAAACAUAGUGCGCAUAUAGUAAUUCCCGUUAUGCGUGUAUGUGCGCCGUUGCAUAUCGGAGGUAAUCUUCUAUAUGUAUCUGCAAACAAAUAUAUUGUACUCGUACAGUACGGACUUGUGUAAACUUUCCUAAGCACAUAAACUUUAGUAGUCUGUGUGUGUGUGUGUGACAACGCAUCAUAUUCAUAUAUGGGAUACGUGUAUGCGCAUAACAAAUUCAAUAAGUGCUUACAACAAAUACAUAGAUGCCCGUGUGUUUUCAUGUACAUAAUAGCGCUUUGGGGAGCUUGUACCAAGAUUUAAAUUUAAAGCGUUGGAAACGGGAAAUGUGUAUCUAAUUUGUAGAAGGGUGCCACAGAAUGGUUAUUUGGAUGCAUUUUUCGAUGGAACGUUCGCGAGAGCUUGUAGCUUGUAAUUCUCAUCGAAUUUAUGGAGCUAUUUAUAGGUAUGACCUACCCAUAUAGACCCUAGUAUAGUCCUAUAUAAGAAUUUUAAUAACUGCAGUCUAUAUUCUGUAUAAAAACAGAGAUGUCUACCGGCCAAAUGCUUCGAUAGUCACUUUUUUUUAAGAAUGUUUAGACAUAAACGGGGAAAUAUGUAUCUAAUUUGUAGAAAGGUGCCACAAAAUAUUUGAUAAAUUUCACUGCUUUCCUAUUACACUGAUGCAUUUUUCGAGGGAGCAUUUGAGAGAACUUAUAAUUCUCGUCCGGUUUAUGAUAACAUUUAUAGGUAUGGCCUAACCAUACUAUCUAAAAAGAUUUCUAGGCCACAAUAGUCUGUGCUCUGUAUAAAUGUAGAAAUGUCUCAAUAUAUUGACCAAUGUGGGGAUUAUCGCUUGUUUUAGAAUGUUUAGAAGAAAACGGAGAAUGUGUAUCUAAUUUGUAAAAGGAUGCCUCAAAAUGGUUAAUGCAAUACAUAUAUUUUACGUUAUUUCGAUGCAUUUUUUUGUGGAAACAUUUGUGAGAUAUUGUAAUUCUCACCCAGAUUAUGAAACU